GACGAACGCUGGCGGCGUGCUUAACACAUGCAAGUCGAACGGAAAGGCCCUGCUUUUGUGGGGUGCUCGAGUGGCGAACGGGUGAGUAACACGUGAGUAACCUGCCCUUGACUUUGGGAUAACUUCAGGAAACUGGGGCUAAUACCGGAUAGGAGCUCCUGCUGCAUGGUGGGGGUUGGAAAGUUUCGGCGGUUGGGGAUGGACUCGCGGCUUAUCAGCUUGUUGGUGGGGUAGUGGCUUACCAAGGCUUUGACGGGUAGCCGGCCUGAGAGGGUGACCGGCGACAUUGCGACUGAGAUACGGCCCAGUCUCCUACGGGAGGCAGCAGUGGGGAAUAUGGCACAAUGGGGGGAAGCCUGAUGCAGCAACGCCGCGUGCGGGAUGACGGCCUUCGGGUUGUAAACCGCUUUCGCCUGUGACGAAGCGUGAGUGACGGUAAUGGGUAAAGAAGCACCGGCUAACUACGUG
Molecule: ribosomal RNA, 468 nt
Filed under: uncultured bacterium
Lineage: Bacteria
Description: partial 16S ribosomal RNA
Rfam family: Bacterial small subunit ribosomal RNA
Source: RNAcentral